Molecule: long non-coding RNA, 1202 nt
Filed under: Nicotiana benthamiana
Lineage: Eukaryota; Viridiplantae; Streptophyta; Magnoliopsida; Solanales; Solanaceae
Description: long non-coding RNA (NBEN_LNC002859)
Source: RNAcentral
AAAUAACAAACAUUACUUAAUUAAAAAAUUAUAAAUAGUUGUACAGACGGAUCUCCCACUCAGCUUCAAAUAUAAAAACAUAAAUGGAAAAAGGUUUACUUGGCCAAAAAGCCAUAAAAACAGAAUUUUUUCCGACAAAUUUUUGAGCAUUUUGCAAUUCUAUCAGAAAUUAUGCAGUGCUUCUUGGCAAACUGUUCAGAACGCAUAUUUAAAGGUUAGUACAUAAGAUUUGAUAUGCUGAUUAGAAUUGUUCAUAAAACUUAUACUUGCAACUGAGUAAAGCAGGUCUACCAGCGACUAAUAAAGACGAUAAACCUGUACGAUUAAUCAUUAAAAGUACCUAAAAAUUACAAAUGCUCUACAAUUUAAAUAAUGCAUAAGAUGUAUGAGAUGAGUAAACAUAUAAAAAAAUGAUAAAACAUAUGAUAUAAUAUAUCUUAAAUUUAUGCAAUGAUAUACCAAAUAAUGCAUAUUCGGAAGAAAUACGAUAUACAGGAUAAAAGAGACUAAUAUGGUGUACGGAUCAGAAAAUUCUUACGAUAUAUAUGACACAUUUUUUUACUUAUAAUUAAAUUUCAGCAUCUAAUGCAUCUAAAAAACUGAGCAAAUAGUAGAACAAAAAGAUUUAGUAAGACACCAAGUUUACGUCAAAUUGUUUAAAGAACUGAAAUAUUACUCAUUAUCUAUAUAAUGUUAAAUUUUCAUACCGUUCGAGGAAAAUUUAGUCUGUUUCUGCUUCUGUAUGCAUAUUUGAUUCUAUCUUGCGAGUUUUUUUAUGUUCUUCCAUGUCAAAGUGCCGUAAAAACAGUAAUUUUUCAAGCAGUUGUAGAGUCUUCCACACUUCUAUCGUUAAUUUAAUAUGGGAUUCUUGGCAACCCUUCAGUCUGUUGAUUCCGAUGCAAAACAAACUCUAUUUUCUUCUGAUAGUGUAGGUCGAACUCGAAAAUUUCUAAACCAACCACAACAAGCUUGCCUACAACAAUUUAGAAGAAAAACUAAUGUAAACGAACCUCCGCUUUAUGAAAUCCGGACUACGACAUGCAUUUCGUUAUAAAUUUGAUUGACGUUGAAGGCUUGAAGCAGGCAGGCGUUGGAAAUUUGGGUUAAGAAACUGAAUUAGUUUUGAGAAGUUGAAGAGUCUUAAACAAAAGCUAAAAGGGAUAGCAGUUGAGGAAAAGAGGGAAUCUGAUGCGGCUCUUUAU